UAUCCUUGAAUCAUGGCUACCAAACAGUAACCAUGGACAACCAUUUCCACAUUUUACCCUCACUCUAGUUAGUUUAUUUAUAUACUUGUCCAGCUCUACAUGUUCUUGAACUGCAUAUCUAGUAAUAGUUUCUCUAAAUUACUUAACUUUUUCAAAAGCUAGACCAGUUUCCCAAAAAAUUAACUUACUAGUACGAUAAAAAACAACUUUAUUUUUAGUUAUUUUUGCCUCCCUACCUUUAGUACACUUCUUACAGGAUGUUGAAC
Molecule: long non-coding RNA, 266 nt
Filed under: Capsicum annuum
Lineage: Eukaryota; Viridiplantae; Streptophyta; Magnoliopsida; Solanales; Solanaceae
Description: long non-coding RNA (CANN_LNC001210)
Source: RNAcentral